UACGGAGGGUGCAAGCGUUAUCCGGAUUCACUGGGUUUAAAGGGUGCGUAGGUGGAAUGGUAAGUCAGUGGUGAAAUCUCCAAGCUUAACUUGGAACUGCCGUUGAUACUAUCAUUCUUGAAUAUCGUGGAGGUGAGCGGAAUAUGUCAUGUAGCGGUGAAAUGCUUAGAUAUGACAUAGAACACCGAUUGCGAAGGCAGCUCACUACGCGAUUAUUGACACUGAGGCACGAAAGCGUGGGGAUCAAACAGG
This 252-nucleotide ribosomal RNA is filed under the name uncultured bacterium. Its description in RNAcentral is "partial 16S ribosomal RNA". It matches the Rfam family "Bacterial small subunit ribosomal RNA", at positions 524 to 776 of the family's 1533-position model. The record is from RNAcentral.